Molecule: ribosomal RNA, 469 nt
Filed under: uncultured bacterium
Lineage: Bacteria
Description: bacterial SSU rRNA
Rfam family: Bacterial small subunit ribosomal RNA
Source: RNAcentral
AGCGAACGUUUGCGGCGGGCCUAACACAUGCAAGUCGAACGCACUAGCAAUAGUGAGUGGCGCACGGGUGCGUAACACGUGGGUAAUCAACCCUUCAGCCUGGGAUAACGACUCGAAAGGGUCGCUAAUACCGGAUACGGCGCGAGAGGCUUCGGCUUCUCACGAGAAAGCCACGCAAGGGGCACUGAAGGACGAGCCUGCGGCCCAUCAGCUAGUUGGUGAGGUAAGAGCUCACCAAGGCUAAGACGGGUAGCUGGUCUGAGAGGAUGAUCAGCCACACUGGAACUGAGACACGGUCCAGACUCCUACGGGAGGCAGCAGUGGGGAAUAUUGCGCAAUGGGCGAAAGCCUGACGCAGCCACGCCGCGUGAGCGAUGAAGGCCUUCGGGUCGUAAGACUCUGUGGGGAGGAGACGAAGAAGACCUGUGAAGAGCAGGCCGUUGACGGUAUCUCCUUAGCAAGCACCGGC